CAAGUACUCCCUCCGAUCCGAAUUACUUGUCAAAAAAAUGGAUAAAAAUGGAUGUAUCUAUAACUAACAUACAUUUAGAUACAUUCAUUUCUGUGACAAGUAAUUUCGAACGGAGGGAGUACAAG
Non-coding RNA from Triticum aestivum (bread wheat), 125 nucleotides. The record is from Rfam. Lineage: Eukaryota; Viridiplantae; Streptophyta; Magnoliopsida; Poales; Poaceae.